Molecule: ribosomal RNA, 305 nt
Filed under: uncultured bacterium
Lineage: Bacteria
Description: bacterial SSU rRNA
Rfam family: Bacterial small subunit ribosomal RNA
Source: RNAcentral
ACCUAGGAGGCAGCAGUAAGGGAUAUUGGUCAAUGGGGGAAACCCUGAACCAGCAACGCCGCGUGAGGGAAGACGGUUUUCGGAUUGUAAACCUCUCUCCUCUGUGAAGAUGAUGACGGUAGCAGAGGAGGAAGCUCCGGCUAACUACGUGCCAGCAGCCGCGGUAAUACGUAGGGAGCGAGCGUUAUCCGGAUUUAUUGGGUUUAAAGGGUGCGUAGGCGGCAUUAUAAGUUAGUGGUAAAAUAUUGGGGCUUCACCUCACUACGCCAUUAAUACUGUAGAGCUAGAGAACAGACGAGGUAGGC